This 206-nucleotide ribosomal RNA is filed under the name uncultured bacterium. Its description in RNAcentral is "partial 16S ribosomal RNA". It matches the Rfam family "Bacterial small subunit ribosomal RNA", at positions 1284 to 1500 of the family's 1533-position model. The record is from RNAcentral.
GGUCCCAGUUCGGAUUGUAGGCUGCAACUCGCCUACAUGAAGUCGGAGUUGCUAGUAAUCGCGGAUCAGAAUGCCGCGGUGAAUGCGUUCCCGGGUCUUGUACACACCGCCCGUCACACCAUGGAAGUUGGGGCGCCCGAAGUUGCCUAAGAAAUAAGGUACCUAAGGCGAAACCAAUGACUGGGGUGAAGUCGUAACAAGGUAUC